CCCUUAGAUGUUCUGGGCCGCACGCGCGCUACACUGACGAAGUCAGCGAGCAUGUCCUACGCCGACAGGUGCGGGGAAUCUUGUCAAACUUCGUCGUGAUGGGGAUUGAUUUUUGAAAUUCUUGAUCAUAAACGAGGAAUUCCUAGUAAGCGCAAGUCAGCAGCUUGCGUUGAUUACGCCCCUGCCCUUUGUACACACCGCCCGUCGCUACUACCGAUUGAAUGGUUUAGUGAGAUCUUCGGAUUGGCGCCACUGCAGCUCAGCAAUGGGCUUGGUGGAUGCCGAAAAGUUGAUCAAACUUGAUCAUUUAGAGGAAGUAAAAGUCGUAACA
Molecule: ribosomal RNA, 331 nt
Filed under: uncultured eukaryote
Lineage: Eukaryota
Description: partial 18S ribosomal RNA
Rfam family: Eukaryotic small subunit ribosomal RNA
Source: RNAcentral